Molecule: ribosomal RNA, 449 nt
Filed under: uncultured bacterium
Lineage: Bacteria
Description: bacterial SSU rRNA
Rfam family: Bacterial small subunit ribosomal RNA
Source: RNAcentral
AACGAACGCUGGCGGCAUGCCUAACACAUGCGAGUCGAACGAGACCUUCGGGUCUAGUGGCGCACGGGUGCGUAACGCGUGGGAACCUGCCUUUAGGUUCGGAAUAACUCAGAGAAAUUUGAGCUAAUACCGGAUAAUGUCUUCGGACCAAAGAUUUAUCGCCUUUAGAUGGGCCCGCGUAAGAUUAGCUAGUUGGUGGGUAAAGGCCUACCAAGGCGACGAUCUUUAGCUGGUCUGAGAGGAUGAUCAGCCACACUGGGACUGAGACACGGCCCAGACUCCUACGGGAGGCAGCAGUGGGGAAUAUUGGACAAUGGGCGAAAGCCUGAUCCAGCAAUGCCGCGUGAGUGAUGAAGGCCUUAGGGUUGUAAAGCUCUUUUACCCGAGAUGAUAAUGACAGUAUCGGGAGAAUAAGCUCCGGCUAACUCCGUGCCAGCAGCCGCGGUAAU